Molecule: long non-coding RNA, 740 nt
Organism: Anas platyrhynchos (mallard)
Lineage: Eukaryota; Metazoa; Chordata; Aves; Anseriformes; Anatidae
Source: RefSeq, a predicted model, not a curated record
CUCUAUUUAACCACUGACAAGUAACACCUCCUUAUGAUCAACAAGAAGAUUCCUCCUGGGGGCCCUCCCUAUACUGCUCCCCACAUGGUGCAUCCUAGCCACAGAAUGGAAAAAUCACUCUUCUUGUACAGGACUCCUCUAUUUCAGCCUUUCUCCAUCUGCAGGACACGAUCUUCAAGCAGUUUUUUAACUGAUUCUCCUGGAAACAACUACGUACAACCAAAGAUACUUACAGGGGGCUGGGAGAUGUUAUCCAAAUUAAAAACAUCAUUCACUGUUCUUCUGAAUCCUGUUCACUACAUGGUACUCAUAGAGAAAUAACUGCUGUGAGCCCAGCAAGAAGACUGAGUAAUCAGUAUUUUUCAGGUUAUUCUAUGCAAGGUUGUACCAAUGUCUCUUCUGAGGUUAAUAACAGAAAAAAAGCAACCCAAAUCCAGUGAAGGUGUACAAUAGAAGUGGUAGUACUGAUGGUAAGAAGAUAGGUAAUCCUCUGUAAUACCAUGUCCUGCCCAAGACACUAAUCAUGAAGAAGUAGAAUUGAAGCUUAAUAAAGCAGAGAAGAAAUUGUGUCCUUUAAUCCCCUUCUUUAUAAUCUUGCCAUAUUAUUGCAGUCACUAUUGUCAAGAAAGCUUACUUUCUUAUUCUUAUAUCUUGUAUAGUAAAGUGAUUGACUCUGCAUGCUCUGCUACACAGCAGCAUAUCAGAAGAGAUUACACACAACAAACCUCUGCAGGAAUUCU